AAAUUCAUAUCUUGCUUCAGUUAUCUGUUUAUGUUGAUACUAAUACAAAUAAUGAGUAAAUGGAUUCUGACUUAGAUGUUGCCUACUAAAUUGCCGGUAUUUCGUAACUUUUUCUGAACCUUUAUUUAGCUGCUCCGAUGCCUGACCAGUUUGUGGUGGUGGUUAUUGUAUAAUUUGUGGCUAUGGGGUUGAGCUGUCCUUACUUGAACCCGAGACCUUGUGCUAAUUGUGACAAAAAAAAAAAAAUGGUCCGCCCAUUACCAAACAAACAAUUGGCUUGGUUGCUGUAUAUAAUUUUUGAUCAAAACUCAUACAUGAUUUGUCACCUGGCUUGAUUUUGUUAUUAAUAUUACAAACAAUUAUGUUUUCUUUCUAUUAAAUAUUGGCUAAUAUUUUAGAUAACAGUGACGAUUAUGGUGUUUGUUGAUCAAAACAAUUAUGUUUUCUUUCUAUUAAAUAUUGGCUAAUAUUUUAGAUAACAGUGACGAUUAUGGUGUUUGUUGAUCAAAGAGGUUGUAUGCAUUAAUAAUGGCAAAUAUUUGUAUAGUGUGCAGUUUACCGCUUGUGCUUGCUGCGCGUGGACAUAAGUUCAGUAAAAGAUUUGAAAUUACCAUAGUUAAGGCGGUGAUGAUGAGUUUCUAAAUGUUGGUUUAAAAUUGCCAUAGUUAAAGCGGUAAUGAUGAGUUUCUAAAUGUUGGUUUAAAAUUGCUGAUGAGUUUCUAAAUGUUGGAGUUAAUUAGAGAAAGAUGAGAUUAGAAGUAUCUUGGCAGGGUAAUUUCUGGGAUGUCAUGUAUAGAUAUAAGCUGAAUAAUUUUUAUCCCGUGAUUGAUUUCUAUUAUGAAUGCAGCCAUGAUGGUUUACAAUACUUUGUGCUGAUUCUUGUUUAGAUCUGAGCUUCACAAUAAACUAAUAAAGUCUUUAUAUAGCUUAUUUUACAUAUUCAAGUUUUGGCAACACAUCAAAAAGUAAAAACUGACACAUAUAGGCUUGUGCAACUUAAUAUAAAUCUAAUGAAUCAGAAAACACAUACAGUACAUCUGUUCAUAAUUUGAAGCUUUACUCAAGUUGCUUUUAUGUGUUUUGUUUAGAUAAUUUGUUACCUGGUUUUAGAAAGUGUCUUUCUCUACUUGUUUCAAACCUGAUUUAGAGAUACGGAGUCUAUAAUUUUGAUUGUUACAAAUUAUUAUAUAAUGCACUGCUCCUUAUCUCAUGUGUGAUGGAAACAUCAACUCUGGAAGAGUCCUUUUCGUACAUUUGUCUUGUCUUAAUUUAUACAUAUGCGCGUUGCUAAUUGAUCAAUGCAGGUGACAAAAAGCAGAAUGUGGAGCGGUGCACUCUUUCAAGGGAAAAGCGUAUAAAGGCAUGCACGCUCGAUUACAUUCUGGCAUCAGCAAGUUUUUGAUUGCUUAACUAUGCCAUUUACUGGGAAGCCUGGAGGCGUUGCAGACUUGCAGGUGAAUCUAAGUAGCCACAAGUGGGUUUAUUUUUGCUUCUAGGAUUAGAGCUUUGGACGUCUAGGACAUUCCCCUUAGAGACUAAGUUUAUACCACUAGGCGACCACCCUUGUGGUUCCGUAUUAGUGUUUCAAAUCAUAUUUUUAUUUUGUGAUUAUAGUUGCAAAUCUGAAUAUGACUGCAUAGAUGAGUAUGCAAAGAUAUGAAUGCUGUUUUGGAGUUAAAAGGGUAUGGUAAAAGGGGGCUAUUAAGUUAUUGGAUUACUUUCUGGUUGAUCUUUUUUUACAAGGGUGUUAAAGUUCAAGUUUUGAUUCUUCCAUUUUAUAACCUAUAUAAGGUUUUUAUAUUUGGCCAGUUAGUCUUGGCUACCAAGAAAAUAUGAAAUGCUUGCCGGAGAUAAAUGGCCAUAUCAGGGUGGAGUACCUAUCAAGUACCCAUCAGUUGUGUUCUAUGUAGCACCGACAUAGAUACGGCAAAGGGGCACGGGAACGGGAAACGGCAAAACUAAAAAAUUUAGGAUAUGGGUACGGCAAAGAUACGGCAAUAAAUAUAUAUAUAUAUUGAUUUUAUAUAGAGAAAUACUUGAGACUUGAGAGAUUAUGUAUAAUUAUAUACAUAUAAUUUUAUAACAUAUGCUUGAUGGUGACCGGUGAUCACAAAUUCAUUUUUUAAUAAUCAGUUUUGGAAUAAAAAAAAAGCCUGAUGGUGAUCUCAAUUGUAAAAUGUAGUUGAUUUGUAUUUGGGGUAUGCUUAGUUGCAAGAUAACAGUCGUUUUUGGAAUAGCUAAAGUUAAUUAAAACCCUAAUAUUGAUUAGAUUCUGUAAGGAAGCUUCAUAGAAACGUUUCGGUAUAUAUGGAAACUUCAAGGAAACGUUUCAUACGAGUGUCGGUUCCCAUGGAGUUUCCGAAACAGGUACGUCUACCUGUAUGGAGUUUCGGUGCAUCAUAGGUUGUGUUGUAAUGGUAGAAAUUUGUGUUUCUACCUGCAACAGGCGUUAAAGAAAGAAGCUGCAGUUGAAGGAACUUGGUUUUUAAUAUUGUAACACCUAAAACGACAUUUGUCAACAUCUGGAGAGUUAGUUUUGAAUAUUGUAACACCUAAAACGACAUUUGUCUGAUUAUUUGUAGAAAUGCAACUAAAAUUACUUUCCCUGUUCAACCAUUGACUUAUUUUGUGAUUUGAGAACCAAGUAUUCUGUGUAGUUAUAACAAUAAAUUGAUCU
Molecule: long non-coding RNA, 2677 nt
Organism: Erigeron canadensis
Lineage: Eukaryota; Viridiplantae; Streptophyta; Magnoliopsida; Asterales; Asteraceae
Exons: 2
Source: RefSeq, a predicted model, not a curated record